CGGAUUUAUUGGGUUUAAAGGGUGCGCACGCGGCGCGGUAAGUCAACGGUAAAAGCCCGGGGCUCAACCC
Molecule: ribosomal RNA, 70 nt
Filed under: uncultured bacterium
Lineage: Bacteria
Description: partial 16S ribosomal RNA
Source: RNAcentral